AGGGCACCACCAGGAGUGGAGCCUGCGGCUUAAUUUGACUCAACACGGGAAAUCUCACCAGGCCCGGACACUGGAAGGAUUGACAGAUUGAGAGCUCUUUCUCGAUUCGGUGGGUGGUGGUGCAUGGCCGUUCUUAGUUGGUGGAGUGAUUUGUCUGGUUAAUUCCGAUAACGAACGAGACUCUGUCCUGCUAAAUAGUUCCCGCGUCCUUUGUUGCGCGGGAAAUUCUUCUUAGAGGGACUGGCGGCGUCUAGCCGCACGAGAUUGAGCAAUAACAGGUCUGUGAUGCCCUUAGAUGUUCUGGGCCGCGCGCGCGCUACACUGAAGGGAUCAGCGUGUCUUCCCUUCCCGAGAGGGACGGGUAACCCGCUGAACCCCCUUCGUGGUAGGGAUCGGGGCUUGCAAUUAUUCCCCGUGAACCAGGAAUUCCCAGUAAGCGCAAGUCAUAAGCUUGCGUUGAUUACCUCCCUGCCCUUUGUACACACCGCCCGUCGCUACUACCGAUUGAACGUUUUAGUG
This 519-nucleotide ribosomal RNA is filed under the name uncultured eukaryote. RNAcentral's name for it is "SSU rRNA". It matches the Rfam family "Eukaryotic small subunit ribosomal RNA", at positions 1161 to 1703 of the family's 1831-position model. The record is from RNAcentral.